This 1147-nucleotide long non-coding RNA is filed under the name Dromaius novaehollandiae (emu). Its description in RNAcentral is "lncRNA (ENSDNVG00000001566.1)". The record is from RNAcentral. Lineage: Eukaryota; Metazoa; Chordata; Aves; Casuariiformes; Dromaiidae.
AUGCUGGCCUCCCCCUGCUUUCCGAGCGGGAUGAUCUGGUGUCCGUUGUUGCUGCCGGGGAGAGCUCGGGAAGGCAGCACGGCAGGAGUUACUCAGCUGCGGCUCCUCGCAGCCCUGCGUGCGGCGCUUCGCAGCCAUCUUAGCUGUGGGCAGAAAGCCUGUCAGGACUCGCACCACGCGUCAGCUGAUCAGAUUUCGGAACCAGCAAGUCUCCUACAUACAGAAAUUAUUGCAGAGAUCAGAGACAUUUAGCCCCGGAGUUGAGGCCCGUUUUGUAACUGCUCCCCUUUCCCAAAUAUUUUCAAACAGUUCAAUAACGACAAUGAUUUCAAUGAAUAUGUAACAUUGGCUUUUAAAUAGAAACAUCUUACUGUACUUAUAAUGUUCUGUGUAAUUAUGAAAGCAGACAAAGGUGAGCAUUGACUGUUUAAGCUGCAUUCACUUCUAGUGUUUCUCCACAUUUGUUUAUCAGAACUUCACUGAAAAGUGUUUUGAUUAUUUAUGUUUACUUGGAAAAAAUUACAUAAAUGAUUUUAAUAGAGUUUCUGCUCUAUGCAAAUAGUAGGUUGCUCCUAAAUUCUCUUCUGAUGUAUGAAUUUGCUUCAGAAGUGGAUUCAGAAUGGAUUCAGAAAUGUUACCUUUGACUUUUGUGGCUUAUACGUUGUGUUAUAUCAUCAGGACUUUCUUCAAAGCCUCUGAAGCCAAAUGAAGAUGUACUGUUGAUUUCAAUAGUGUCUGAAUUGCUCCCCAAGCAACUGAGUAUUUCUUCUUAAAAGAAGUAUCCUGAUGACUUUGAGGAGAAUGUUUCUGAGCAGAACUGUGAAUAGGGUUCUUUGACACCAGAAUCACAAGACCUGUGCUUUCUAGCACCAAAUAACCUCAUUUCUGAACAAACAUUGUGGCCAGAGCUGAUUACUGAUUUGGCCGUUUUUGAAAAGAGAGCGAUGCUAACUUUGAUGUCCUAAUUACAAGCUGGCUAUACUAAUGCCUAGUUGUAUGCAUUUAAAAGUUAGUGUACAGAGGCUAGUGUAUUUCUGUGGCCAGUAGAGAAAAAGGAAGACUUGCACAGAGAUCUAUCCAGAGCAAGAACCCAAGUGAAUCAAAUUCAAAAAAUAAACCCCGUGCCUCUCCAUUGAGUGGAGAGGGU